This 420-nucleotide ribosomal RNA is filed under the name uncultured bacterium. RNAcentral describes it as "bacterial SSU rRNA". It matches the Rfam family "Bacterial small subunit ribosomal RNA", at positions 356 to 773 of the family's 1533-position model. The record is from RNAcentral.
AGGGAAUAUUGGGCAAUGGGCGAGAGCCUGACCCAGCCAUGCCGCGUGCAGGAAGAAGGCUUUCUGAGUCGUAAACUGCUUUUGACAGGGAAGAAUAAACACUACGUGUAGUGCGAUGACGGUACCUGCAGAAUAAGCACCGGCUAACUCCGUGCCAGCAGCCGCGGUAAUACGGAGGGUGCGAGCGUUGUCCGGAUUUAUUGGGUUUAAAGGGUGCGUAGGCGGCCGUUUAAGUCUGGGGUGAAAGCCCGCUGCUCAACAGCGGAACUGCCCUGGAUACUGGAUGGCUUGAGUACAGACGAGGUUGGCGGAAUGGACGGAGUAGCGGUGAAAUGCAUAGAUACCGUCCAGAACCCCGAUUGCGAAGGCAGCUGACUAGGCUGUUACUGACGCUGAGGCACGAAAGCGUGGGGAGCGAAC